This 400-nucleotide ribosomal RNA is filed under the name Biomphalaria straminea. RNAcentral describes it as "partial 16S ribosomal RNA". It matches the Rfam family "Bacterial large subunit ribosomal RNA", at positions 1911 to 2609 of the family's 2925-position model. Lineage: Eukaryota; Metazoa; Mollusca; Gastropoda; Planorbidae. The record is from RNAcentral.
AGUGAUUUUUUUUUAAAUGGCCGCAGUACCUUGACUGUGCUAAGGUAGCAUAAUCAAUUGGCUUCUAAUUAAAGUCUGGAAUGAAAGGAAAUAUGAAGUAAUUCUAUCUUAAAGGAUUUUUUUUGAAUUUAUUUAAAUGAUGAAAAUAUCAUUUUAUAGAAAAAAGACGAGAAGACCCUUAGAGUUUUGAUAUUUAUAUAUUUUUGUUGGGGCGACAGGUAAACAUAUAACUUUACGAAUUAUUAUUGAUCGAUUUUUUAUAAGAAUAAUAAAACUACCUUAGGGAUAACAGCAUUAUAUUUUUUUAUGAUUGUGACCUCGAUGUUGGACUAGGAACUUUAUGGCUAGCCGUCAAAAAAGAUUUGUUCUGUUCGAACAAUUUUAUCCUACAUGAUCUGAG